GGCUGGGAAGUAGGAUGGAAGUAAGUUAGUUAUUGUUUUGUCCUUUUUCACUUAAAACCUAACCUAUAAGUGAUAUAUUUAAAAAUACCUAUAUCAAUAACUUAAUAGGCUAAUUAUAUUGAUUAUAUUGAUAGAUUACAUUGUGUGUAAUUGAUUAUAAUCAUAUUAAUAUGGUGAAUUGUUACGGUUGCAAGAAGGAGAUUAUUGUUCUUAUUCUGAAAUACUUUAAAACAAUAAAUUACUAUAACAAUAUAGCAAUUUAAAGAAUUCUUUAAAAGAAAUUAGAAUAAUUAUCAUUGAAGAAAUUGUUUAUUGUUUUCAAUCACAGGGCAUGUAAUAUAUUGAUAUAAUGGAAUAAAAUAUUGAAAUAAAAGCAUUGCAUAAAAUGAGAAAAAAGAACUACCUGAAAAGAAUAAGGUUUUUUCUUUGAAAAAUGUAAAAAUAGAUUUGGGUCCCUAGCAGGUAAGAAAGGCCUACAAAACAAACAUCUGAAUGUAUUUGUUGGUUGGGUAAAAUAUUUCUUUUAAAAGCAACAUCACUCUUGAUCUAUCCGCCGUUGUAGUUGUUUCAUUGUCUUAGCGUCUUCUUAUUUUUCUUAGUGUUCUUAUUAUUUUUCUUAGUGUUUUUUAGUACAUAGUUUAUUUAGUUUAUUUUUAUAGUUGUUAGAUUUUUGCGUUAGUUAGUGUUUCCUUAGAAUAGUUUUUAAGUUUAGUUGUAUAGCUUUUGGGUUUUAAAUAGAUUUAAAUUAACGUUAAAACGUGUUAAUUUACAAAGGUAAGUAAAACAUUUUUCACUAGUUCCCAUAAUAAUAGUGUAUGUAUAAACAUUUAUUGUUUUUGUUUAAUUAUUUUAAUUUAUUUUACAGUAUGGCUUGUUGUGUGCCAAAUUGUAAAAAUGUUCAGAGGUUACUUCCUCCAGAGAGUGAAAUAUCAUUUCACAGAUUACCUGAAGGCGAAAUGUUUAAGAAAUAUUUAUUGCUUAUUAGAAUGGAACAUUUGACAUGGAAAAGUUCAUUACGCAUUUGUUCAGCACAUUUCACUGAAGAAGAUUUCAUUGUAAAAGGUGGAAGAAAAUGUUUAGGUCCUAAUGCUCUACCUUUCCUUAAUAUUCCUGAGUCGGAUCAAAGAAUGGAAGAUUCUAUACUGCCGGAGAUGAGUAGUUCAAGUGGAGAUGGUAGUCGAAGAGGUUCUAAACGGUUAGUAAUAUUGAUUUUUUCUAAAAUUUUAUUCCAAUUAUCAUAUGCUUUUAA
Non-coding RNA from Onthophagus taurus, 1249 nucleotides. NCBI's taxonomy places the organism in Eukaryota, Metazoa, Arthropoda, Insecta, Coleoptera, Scarabaeidae. The record is from RefSeq and is a predicted model, not a curated record.